GACGAACGCUGGCGGCGUGCCUAAUACAUGCAAGUAGAACGCACAGUUUAUACCCUAUCUUGCUGCACCGUAGACUUUGAGUUCCGGACGGUUGAGUAACGCUUACGUAACCUGCCUUGUAGCGUGAGAUAACUAUUGUAUACGUUAUCUAAUACCUCAUAGUAUUGAUUCUUGCUGGGUCAUUGAUUGAAAUUUUCAAUGUCAGCGCUACCAUAGGGACCUGCGUUGUAUUAGCUAGUGGGUGAGGUAACGGCACACCUGGGCGAGGAUACAUAGCCGAGCUGGGAGGGUGAUGGGCCACACUGGGACUGAGACACGGCACAGACUACUACGGGAGGCAGCAGUAGGGAAUCGUAGGCAAUGGAAGAAAGGCAGACCGGGCAACGCGGCGUGAGUGAAGAAGGGUUUCGGAUCGGAAAGCGCUGUUGUAAGAGAAGAAAGGGUGUGAGAGUGGAAAGUUCACACUGUGAAGGUAUCUUACCAGAAAGGGACGGCUAACUACGUG
RNAcentral lists this ribosomal RNA (505 nucleotides) under uncultured bacterium. Its description in RNAcentral is "partial 16S ribosomal RNA". It matches the Rfam family "Bacterial small subunit ribosomal RNA", at positions 28 to 507 of the family's 1533-position model. The record is from RNAcentral.